This 406-nucleotide ribosomal RNA is filed under the name uncultured bacterium. Its description in RNAcentral is "partial 16S ribosomal RNA". It matches the Rfam family "Bacterial small subunit ribosomal RNA", at positions 29 to 526 of the family's 1533-position model. The record is from RNAcentral.
CUUGAACGCUGGCGGCAGGCCUAACACAUGCAAGUCGAGCGAGCGGCGGACGGCUGAGUAAUGUGUGGGAAACUGCCUGAUGGAGGGGGAUAACUACUGGAAACGGUAGCUAAUACCGCAUACCAUCAGAUGUGCCCAGAUGGGGUUAGCUAGUAGGUUGGGUAACGGCUCACUUAGGCGACGAUCCCCAGCUGGUCUGAGAGGAUGACCAGCCACACUGGAACUGUGACACGGGCCGGACUCCUACGGGAGGCAGCAGGGGGGAAUAGUGCACAAGUGGCGCAAGCCUGAUGCAGCCAUGCCGCGUGUGUGAAGAAGGCCUUCGGGUUGUAAAGCACUUUCAGCGGGGAGGCGGUACCCGCAGAAUAAGCACCGGCUAACUCCGUGCCAGCAGCCGCGGUAAUAC